Long non-coding RNA from Rhinolophus ferrumequinum (greater horseshoe bat), 1048 nucleotides. RefSeq lists it as uncharacterized. The transcript has 4 exons. NCBI's taxonomy places the organism in Eukaryota, Metazoa, Chordata, Mammalia, Chiroptera, Rhinolophidae. The record is from RefSeq and is a predicted model, not a curated record.
AUCUAUGGUAUCCUCCACGCUCUUCCUCAGGGCUUCUGAGAAAUCCAGAACGGACCCCCUGUCCCCUCACGUUCUUACCGUCAUGGUUGGCGUUUCCUAGCGUCCACGGCUCAUCUGAGUCAAAAUCCUGUCCCGGAACCGAGGCGAUCUACCUGAGAUGGAAUCAGAGUCUGGGAGGUGCCAACCUGAGCCUGCCCUAUGUCUGGCCCUUGGCCCAGCCCACUCCAAAUUCUGAUGUCUGCGUAUGCUGUGGUAGGCUCCAUCAUCCCUGCUCUUGGUGGCUGGUGUGACCUGGGGACCGAUCCUGCUCUGCCCUUGGUUUCCCCAGACAGUCAAUGAAUGACACUGUUGUGAAUUAGUUCCCAGGUCUUUGUACUCCUUAAGAAACAACUGGAAAUCAAUGUUGGGAAUGUUACGUGAAGUCCAUCAGGCCAAGUGGGAGAGGGAUCCAGAGUGGGCUUUGACAGGUGAUAGGGACAAUGAGUUCAGCCAUGGUUCUUUGUCACAGCUGGAAGUUACUGAACAAUCCAUACCCCGCUUUUGGUCACUAAAAACUGUAGGAAUCUAAACAGAACAUAACUAAGGAGCUCCUAGGGGACCAAGUAAACCUGAAGUUGGAGACACAGCAUCCUCUGGAAGCCACAGGAGGACAAAGUCAUGGGCUCACAGCACUGGCCCUCACCCUGAUCGCAGACCCACCUACGGUGUGAGCCUCUGAAACCCAGGCCAGGAAGAAACAGAAUGAUGGUGGAGCCAAAACCAAGGAGGAAGAGAGGGAGUCAAAGCACCUUCCCUGGGAAGAGAACCAGGAGCCAUCUCUGCUACGACAAGGCUGAGCUAGGCCUGGAAGGGAGGGCCCCAGCGCGGAGUCAGGCCCAGAGAAAACAGCAACUGCCCAAGGUCACAGAGCUGGAGCGGAAACUAAGACACAUCAGAUUUAUCUCCAGAAAAACACAGCUCUUGUUGGCUUACUCUCCUGCUAUGAACCUUUCAUUGGAGCUCUACUGGCUACAGAAUAAAGAUUACAUUUGCAUUCAAAGCUUUCCAC